Larimichthys crocea (large yellow croaker) is the source of this 765-nucleotide long non-coding RNA. RefSeq lists it as uncharacterized. The record is from RefSeq and is a predicted model, not a curated record. The transcript has 5 exons. Lineage: Eukaryota; Metazoa; Chordata; Actinopteri; Sciaenidae.
GAGACACCAGUGUUGACAGAGAAGGGAGCUUAGAGGGGUAUUCGUGGCAGGGCAGGAUGUACGUCAUCUGAAGAGUAUUCUGGCUUACUGCGUCGUGGUUUUACACCGAUUGUGUCUAUGCCAAGUGUGGAUCAAGGCCUUGUGGUUUUCGUGGUGUGAGGAGUGAGGAAACCCAGUUGGCAUCAGCGAGGAGAGAACCAAAAGGCAAAGAUGGCAUUUGCCGGAAUGCCUGGUGGAAGGAUCCUUCCAAAGACCAUAUUUGGAUCGAAACGUGGAGCUGGGUUGGUGACGUGCAGGUGAUUGGUAGCUUUGACUCCAUUUUCAAGCAGGAAGAAAUGGCGGCUUGUCAGGGAUCAAAAGUUAGUGUGUGUAUACACUAAAAAACACGUACUGCAUUGGCCGCUUCUGCAGAAAGGAAGAAGGGAACUCUGUUAUUCAAAGGCAAGACUGAGUCACCAGAACUGAGGAACACCAGAGAGGAAAAACGCAAUUCUUCUUUCACCGCUGAGGACCACAGGAUCACGAGAAAGAAAGGUUAUGGACAGAUGGAUGGAGUGGAGAGACAGUGGGACUGUUAUUAAAGAGAAACAGGACAGGAAGAUGAUGUGACAGGCAGGGUAGCCACACCCUGAAGCAUACCCUGCUUUAUCAUCUAUUUUACUCAAAAUGGACUACAAAAUGAAGUUUAUGGUGUGUGGAAGAGGACUUGAAACUCACAACAUUUACUGAAGUAAUAAAUCAAGUGAGAAGCAGACUCAUUUUGCC